This is a long non-coding RNA of Lutra lutra (Eurasian river otter), 456 nucleotides long. RefSeq lists it as uncharacterized. The record is from RefSeq and is a predicted model, not a curated record. The transcript has 3 exons. Lineage: Eukaryota; Metazoa; Chordata; Mammalia; Carnivora; Mustelidae.
CCGCGGGGGCGCGCUGUGCGCGGCCGCGCUCUCUGUUACGGUAGGGUUAGAGCUGGUGGUGGCGUCGCCGCUUCUCUGGUCGGUGGCGCGCGUCUGCCUCGGUGGGUUUUGUUUGACUGGCUUUGGGAGGAGUGGGUACCCGAGCACGCGGCCUCUGGGCACUGUCAAACAGGAGAGACGGGAGGGAUCCGGAGGGGUGGAGAGGAAGAAACGGAGAAAAAGGGAAAGGAAGGUGCCGCGAAGCCAGUUCCUGCUUCCUGACUGGUAGAAAAAACACCUUCAGUCAGUGGCGCAGAACCCAGAUGGCCAAGGCCCAGGGAUCUCUUUGAUUUAAGCUGCUUUUAUGCUAGAUUCCCUCAGUGUAAAAGUGUGCAAACAUCAAGGCAAGGCCCCAGGAGGAUUUGGUUAGAAGACAUGGGGCACCUGGGUGGCUCAGUGGGUUAAAGCCUCUGCCUU